This is a long non-coding RNA of Homo sapiens (human), 4800 nucleotides long. RefSeq lists it as uncharacterized. The record is from RefSeq and is a predicted model, not a curated record. NCBI's taxonomy places the organism in Eukaryota, Metazoa, Chordata, Mammalia, Primates, Hominidae. The transcript is spliced from 2 exons.
GAGACCAUUUUUAUAACAUAUUAUUUUUUUUUAAUUACUUCAACACUGCUAUCCAAUCUUUCCUUUCACUCUGUAUGAUGUUAUAUCGACCAAUUCAUCCACCCCUCAAACUCACUGGAAAGCAAAACUCUUAGUGGCUUAUCACAGUAGCAAGAUUUUAUAUUCAUUUAUCCAAAAUUCUCCUGUUAUGGGGAUAAAAUCUUUUUUUAUUAAUCUUUGCUAGAUGUUUCCAUUGGAACAUUCAACAUACUUCAAAAGGAAUUCCCGUUCCUCUUCUACACCCGGAUUAGUUUCCUUGCUGGCAGCCUUCUUCUUGUCAUUGCCACAGCCCUUUUCCCAUGUUCUCAGACCCCAGUCACCUUUGACACACCCUCUACUUCACCACCAGAGACAGGUGGCAAACUAGCCUAUAUUUACUAAAUGCUUACCAUAUGGUAGGCACUGGUUUACCCUUUUUAUAGCUUUUUUGGGGUUUAGUUGAUAUAUACAAACUGCACAUAGGCACGCACCCACAAUAUCAUAAUCAAGGUAAUAAACGUAUCUAUCAGCUCCAAAAGUUUUUUCUAUAUGUUUGCCCAUUUUUAAUUUCUUUAUUAUUGAGUUUUGUAAGCAUUCUUUAUAUAUUCUAGACUUCUUAUCAGAUGUAUGGUUUGCAAAUAUUUUCUCCCACUCCAUGGGCAGUCUUUGCACUUUCUGGAUGGUAUUAUUUCAGGAAAAACAAAGUUAGUUUUGAUAAAGUUCAACUUUUCAAUCUUGUUUCACCUAUGCUUUUGGUGUCAUACCUAAGAAACUCUUGCCAACCCCUAUCUCCCAAGAUUUGCUGUCAUUUUUUUCUAAGAGUUUUAUAGUUUUAUCUCUUAUAUUUACAUCUAUGACCAUUUUGUGUAAAUAUUUGUGUAUGGUGUGAUGAGGGAUCCAACUUUAUUAUUUUGCAUCUAGAUAUCCACUUGUCUCAGCACCCAUUUGUUGAAGAGACUAUUCUCUCUCCCAUUACAUGGUCUUAGCACCCUUGUCAAGAAUCAGUUGAUCAUAAAUUUAAGUGUAAAUAUUUUCCCCCAUGUAAAAGGAUAGAGGGAGCUAAAGUUGGGUAUUUUCAUUCCACCAUGUAGAAAGCUAAAGCAGGCUAGAGUUGAAUGUUCCCCUUCUCCCAGGUAGGUUAGUGUCAGUCCAUUUUGUGCAGCUAUAACAGUAUACCUGAGACUGGGUAACUUAUAAUGAAUAGAAACUUAUUGGCUCCUGGUUCUGGAGGCUAGUAAGUCUAAUGUCAAGGUGCUGGCCUCUGGUGAGGGGCUUCAUGCUGCAUUAUAACAUGGCAGAAGGUAUCACACAGCAGAAUGAACAAAGAGAGGAUGAAAAGAACAAGAGCCCAGUCCCAUGAUAACAAACCCCCUCUCAUGAUAAUGACGUGCUAAGAGCAUUUGCCUAUUCACCAGAGCAGAGCCUUCACGACCUAAACACCUCUUCAGGGUCCCACCUCCCCAUACUGUCGCAAUGGCAAAUACAUUUUAACAUGAGUUUCAGAGAAGACAAACAUUCAAACCACAGCAGUUAGGCUAUCACAAAACUCCAGCAGGUUAGGCUCUGGUAAAAUAGUUUCUCUUUCAGGCAGACCUUGUUAAGAAAAACAGAAUAAUCUGGCAUAUUUCAAAAUGAUUCCUUUUCACCUCUUCUCUCCUCCCUCCCAGAGGCAGGAGGAGAUUUUUCUCUGAUAUUUACUGUGAGGAUCUGGUAGAGGUCCUGGGGGUAAAAUGUACACAGGUGUAGAAGCUCUCUGACUGGGUCUUCCUGGAGUGUUUAAUUCUCAGACUUGUCCACAAUUCACCAAUUUACAGUUCAGGUUUUCCUAUCCUAGCACUGGUUCCCAGGGUUUCUGCUCUGGUAAAGUUGUGAUUCUCUGUAUCCACCUGUCUGUCUCUCCAAUUUUGGGGGAAGCAGUUUGCCCUGCCAUGUCACUUCUCUAAAAGAGCUGAGAAGAGUUUAUUUUUCCAUUUUUUCAGCUUUUUACUUGUUGUUAGGAUACAGUGGGGACUUCUAAGCUCCUUAAAAGCCAGACCAGAAAAUGAAAGUCGAACUCUUCAUUUUUAUUAUUGUACUUUUUAGUUUUAGAAGGAUCAUUUGGAACCUCUUUAUAAUGUAUAAGUCUUUAUUGAUAGUUUCUAUUUGAUGAGACAUUGUCAUUAUAACCUUCCUUUAAUGCUUUAGACAUGGCUAACUUUAGUGCUUUGAAUAUAUUUAUAAUGAUGUCUUUGAAGUCAUUACCAGAUAAGUCCAAUAUCUGGGCCCCUUCUAAAGUCUGUUGCUUUGUUUUCUCUUGUGCACGAGUUAUUACCCUUUCCUGUAUCUUUGUAUGUCUCAUAAUUUCUUAUUAAAAACUUAUCAUUUUAGACAAAGCAUCUAGUAACUCUGUAUAUAACCCAGGAGUAGAUGUCAUUGUAAUUUGCUUCGUUGUUUAUUUAUUCAAUUGGUAACCUAGUUAAACUAAUUUGCAGAGUCUACAAAAUCUAUUUCUCCUGCAGUGUUCAGCCUUUAAUGCUCAUGAUCUUGAUCUUUUUUUUUUUUUUCUUUUCUCUUCUUGUUUUUCUCUUUUAGCCUGGCUACCCAGGGGUUGCUUCUGGGUCAUCAUAAGCCACUUAUUCAUCAGAGAUUGGAUUUAAACCUCCUUGGUUGAUUAGAUUCCUUGAUAUAUGUGGCAUGGAGGCUGCAAUCACAAUUCAGGGAGUUUACGUUUUGACCCACAUACUGGUAGCUUGGAUUUUCUUCUCUGUGGUAACUCCUGAGAGAGCACAGCCUUAGGUAUGCACAUAGUCUUCCAGAUUACCAGGGAUGUGCAUGAUUUUAUUUUUAAUCCUGGCUUCCUAGUAGUUGCCUCUGAGUCAGAGUAGUUUAUUGUUCAAGCAGUAUUUGUUCAGAGGUUGGCCCUAAGCCCCUAGUGCUGGUGGGGCUUCAGCUGUUUGCUGAUGGAUCUGUGUUCUGGUUGGCAAAUGAUUUUCAGUCUUCCUGUUCCUGAGCAGGUUCAGCCUGGGGCUUGCACACAAACUUCUAGAUGACCCAGAGAUAAGUGUGAUCCAAGGAGGGCUCUUCUUGGCAAUCUUUUUCCCUGAUUCUUCCUGUUAAAUUUCUGGUUGUUCUGCCAUUUUGCUUGUUGCUACUAGUAUUAUGGAGCUAUGAGCAUACUCUUUAAUUUUCUCCACCAAGAUCUCUGUUGUUUCAGACAACAUCAUUGAGCUGGAAUUCUUUAUCCUCUCUUCUAAAUAAGGUCAGUCCCUUAAAUACAGCUGGGGAGGUUUUCAUCCUGCCUUUCCUCCGAACAGAACUUCUGCACCACUGCACAGAAGCUGGAGGUGGAGACAGAAGCCCACUUCUAGAAUGACACCCUGCUCUACAGGUAGACGUGGGCUGGGGGGAAGGAGGUGGCAGCCCCCUGGAGCUCCUGGUCUUCCUAGCUUGUGCAUUCUGGUAUGGAACUUCCACUCUGACAGCAAGUUGGAGAAGGGGCAACUGGAGCCCCGUGUUCUUGGGACUCAUGCACCUGGAGUUGAAAUUUCACCCUAUGAGUAGAGGCAAAGUAGAAGAAGGGAGUCACAAUUGUCUCUCUCAAUCACCUCCACUAGGCAUAGAGCUUUUGCAUUCCUAGUGGAGGAAGGAGAAGGUGUGAAAUGUGGGUGGCCUGCCCUUCCUGGGGUGAUACCAAGGACCUAUGUAUGCUAGGACCUGCAGGGACAGGGAGCCCACUUCUUGACCACAGCCACCAGAGCAGAUAACCUUGAGAAGUUUCCAUAAGACAGUGCUGACGGUGGGUAGGGGGAACAAGUCACGGCUCCAAUGCCACAGACUCCUGCUGUUCUGAAGGAUAUUUAGUAGAUUUUCUUGAAAGAAUGUUUUUCCAUUUGCAUAUUUCCUUAGGACAGUUUGUAAAAAAAAAUUUAAAUAAUUAUAAUUUUCUCCAGUCAAAUAGUUGUUUUGCUAGGGAAAGAAAAUGUUGCACUCAACACUUUGCCAUUCUGGAAGGAAGCCUCAAUCCACACAUUUUUUAAAAACUUCAAGUAGUUGCCAACAUACAAAUCCAGAUUUCUUGUCUCUCUGACAAAGCAAAUAUUUAUCUCACUGCAACCACUUUUCCAGCAGAUAGCCCCUGCUCUGUCCAGGGCCAGGGUUGCUGCAGUUACUCACAGCGUAGCUCACUGUUCACCCGUUCACCAUCGCCCUCACCCAAAAUGCUCACAACAUGUAUGUUGGCAGGCAUUUGAAUUGCACCCUCUGAAACUGCAAGGGAAUUUUAGGCAAAAGCCAAAAUGCAGGUGAAUGCCAGGGACACAAAAAAGCACACACUCCUUGGAGAACUGCCCUGCUUAGUAGUAGUGCCAAGAGAUAUGAGGACGGACAGACCAGAGGGGCUGGACAUUGGAAGCUAGGAAGACUGGACUUCAUCCUAGAGGGACUAAAGGGUUUUAAGCAAAGGAUUGGUAUGACCAAAUUAACAUUUUAAAGAAACCAUUCAGGCUGCCAUGAGGACAACAGAAGGUCACUACAUAUAUGGCCCUGGAGCCUCAGAAGAACAGUCUGGAUUACAGUCCUGUGGAUUCGGGAGUCACUGCCAUGUAAGUGGCGAAUUCGUAAGUGGAUAAAAUCACCUUAACUACCAGCAGAAACGAGCCUUGGACUAAAGCCUGAGGAUGAUGAAUAUUUAAAGCACAGGCAGAGGAGCCUGGCAGAGAUGAACUUUAAAUUCUUUAAAGCCUAGUGGCAGUUCUUAAUGUCUGGUACGGGAUGGUUAUACAAUAAAUCUGUAUUUAAUUGUGA